CCAAACUGUUGCCUCGGCGGGAUCUCUGCCCCGGGUGCGUCGCAGCCCCGGACCAAGGCGCCCGCCGGAGGACCAACCAAAACUCUUUUUGUAUACCCCCUCGCGGGUUUUUUUAUAAUCUGAGCCUUCUCGGCGCCUCUCGUAGGCGUUUCGAAAAUGAAUCAAAACUUUCAACAACGGAUCUCUUGGUUCUGGCAUCGAUGAAGAACGCAGCGAAAUGCGAUAAGUAAUGUGAAUUGCAGAAUUCAGUGAAUCAUCGAAUCUUUGAACGCACAUUGCGCCCGCCAGUAUUCUGGCGGGCAUGCCUGUCCGAGCGUCAUUUCAACCCUCGAACCCCUCCGGGGGGUCGGCGUUGGGGAUCGGCCCUGCCUUGGCGGUGGCCGUCUCCGAAAUACAGUGGCGGUCUCGCCGCAGCCUCUCCUGCGCAGUAGUUUGCACACUCGCAUCGGGAGCGCGGCGCGUCCACAGCCGUUAAACACCCAACUUCUGAAAUGUUGACCUCGGAUCAGGUAGGAAUACCCGCUGAACUUAAGCAUAUCAAUAAGACGGAGGAAC
This 555-nucleotide ribosomal RNA is filed under the name Trichoderma harzianum. RNAcentral describes it as "eukaryotic LSU rRNA". The stretch from base 166 to 319 matches the Rfam family "5.8S ribosomal RNA". The record is from RNAcentral. Lineage: Eukaryota; Fungi; Ascomycota; Sordariomycetes; Hypocreales; Hypocreaceae.